AAAUUGAAGAGUUUGAUCAUGGCUCAGAUUGAACGCUGGCGGCAGGCCUAACACAUGCAAGUCGAACGGUAACAGGAAGCAGCUUGCUGCUUUGCUGACGAGUGGCGGACGGGUGAGUAAUGUCUGGGAAACUGCCUGAUGGAGGGGGAUAACUACUGGAAACGGUGGCUAAUACCGCAUAACGUCGCAAGACCAAAGAGGGGGACCUUCGGGCCUCUUGCCAUCAGAUGUGCCCAGAUGGGAUUAGCUUGUUGGUGAGGUAACGGCUCACCAAGGCGACGAUCCCUAGCUGGUCUGAGAGGAUGACCAGCCACACUGGAACUGAGACACGGUCCAGACUCCUACGGGAGGCUGCAGUGGGGAAUAUUGCACAAUGGGCGCAAGCCUGAUGCAGCCAUGCCGCGUGUAUGAAGAAGGCCUUCGGGUUGUAAAGUACUUUCAGCGGGGAGGAAG
This 453-nucleotide ribosomal RNA is filed under the name Salmonella enterica. RNAcentral's name for it is "bacterial SSU rRNA". It matches the Rfam family "Bacterial small subunit ribosomal RNA", at positions 1 to 450 of the family's 1533-position model. Lineage: Bacteria; Pseudomonadati; Pseudomonadota; Gammaproteobacteria; Enterobacterales; Enterobacteriaceae. The record is from RNAcentral.